This 323-nucleotide ribosomal RNA is filed under the name uncultured bacterium. RNAcentral's name for it is "bacterial SSU rRNA". It matches the Rfam family "Bacterial small subunit ribosomal RNA", at positions 28 to 336 of the family's 1533-position model. The record is from RNAcentral.
GAUGAACGCUGGCGGCGUGCCUAACACAUGCAAGUCGAACGGACGGACUCGAUAGCUUGCUAUUGGGAAAGUUAGUGGCAAACGGGUGAGUAACGCGUAGGCAACCUGCCCUUCAGAUGGGGACAACACUUCGAAAGAGGUGCUAAUACCGAAUGACGUAUCCAUUCCGCAUGGAAAGGAUACCCAAAGGCCGGGCAACCGGUCACUGAAGGAUGGGCCUGCGUCUGAUUAGCUAGUUGUGGGGUAACGGCUCACCAAGGCGACGAUCAGUAGCCGGUCUGAGAGGAUGAACGGCCACAUUGGGACUGAGACACGGUCCAGAC